RNAcentral lists this ribosomal RNA (425 nucleotides) under uncultured bacterium. RNAcentral's name for it is "bacterial SSU rRNA". It matches the Rfam family "Bacterial small subunit ribosomal RNA", at positions 354 to 796 of the family's 1533-position model. The record is from RNAcentral.
GUGAGGAAUUUUGCGCAAUGGGGGCAACCCUGACGCAGCGACGCCGCGUGGAGGACGAAGUCUUUCGGGAUGUAAACUCCUGUCAGUGGGGACGAUAAUGACGGUACCCACAGAGGAAGCACCGGCUAACUCCGUGCCAGCAGCCGCGGUAAGACGGAGGGUGCAAGCGUUGUUCGGAAUUACUGGGCGUAAAGCGUAUGUAGGCGGCAAGUUAAGUUCAAGGUUAAAGCCCACGGCUCAACCGAGGAGAUGCAUUGAAUACUGGCUAGCUAGAGGGUGUUAGAGGAAGACGGAAUUCCCAGUGUAGCGGUGAAAUGCGUAGAUAUUGGGAGGAACAUCGGUAGCGAAAGCGGUCUUCUGGGACAUACCUGACGCUGAGGUACGAAAGCGUGGGGAGCAAACGGGAUUAGAUACCCUUGUAGUCC